This 18-nucleotide ribosomal RNA is filed under the name Thelephoraceae sp. AT97UM65b. RNAcentral's name for it is "partial 28S ribosomal RNA". Lineage: Eukaryota; Fungi; Basidiomycota; Agaricomycetes; Thelephorales; Thelephoraceae. The record is from RNAcentral.
AUUUGAUCUCAAAUCAGG